CUGACAGAAGAGAGUGAGCACACACGGUGCUUUCUUAGCAUGAAAAAGCCAUGCUGGGAGCUGUGCGUGCACACUCUCUAUCUGUCAG
This 88-nucleotide microRNA precursor is filed under the name Oryza brachyantha (malo sina). RNAcentral describes it as "mir-156 microRNA precursor family". It matches the Rfam family "mir-156 microRNA precursor family". Rfam says of the family: This family represents the plant microRNA (miRNA) precursor mir-156. Animal miRNAs are transcribed as ~70nt precursors and subsequently processed by the Dicer enzyme to give a ~22nt product. Lineage: Eukaryota; Viridiplantae; Streptophyta; Magnoliopsida; Poales; Poaceae. The record is from Rfam by way of RNAcentral.